UUCUGGCUCAGGAUGAACGCUAGCUACAGGCCUAACACAUGCAAGUCGAGGGGUAGCGUGAGGGAAGCUUGCUCCCUGACGACGACCGGCGAAUGGGUGAGUCACGCGUGUCCAACCUGCCCCGUGCCCGGGGAUAGCCCUUGGAAAUGAGGAUUAAGACCCGAUAUGUGGCGCUUCCGCAUGGCGGCGCCAUGAAGCAGGCACGGGAUGGGGACGCGUCGGAUUAGCUUGACGGCGGGGCAACGGCCCACCGUGGCGACGAUCCGCAGGGGUUCUGAGAGGAAGGUCCCCCACACUGGCACUGAGACACGGGCCAGACUCCUACGGGAGGCAGCAGUGAGGAAUAUUGGUCAAUGGGCGGGAGCCUGAACCAGCCCAAGUAGCGUGCAGGACGACGGCCCUACGGGUUGUAAACUGCUUUUCCGGGAGGAUAAAGUGAGCCACGCGUGGUUCAUUGCAGGUAUCCCGGGAAUAAGGACCGGCUAAUUCCGUGCCAGCCGCGGC
This 504-nucleotide ribosomal RNA is filed under the name uncultured bacterium. RNAcentral's name for it is "bacterial SSU rRNA". It matches the Rfam family "Bacterial small subunit ribosomal RNA", at positions 17 to 518 of the family's 1533-position model. The record is from RNAcentral.